Molecule: ribosomal RNA, 774 nt
Filed under: uncultured Neocallimastigales
Lineage: Eukaryota; Fungi; Neocallimastigomycota; Neocallimastigomycetes; Neocallimastigales
Description: partial large subunit ribosomal RNA
Rfam family: Eukaryotic large subunit ribosomal RNA
Source: RNAcentral
UAUGUGAUCGUCUCUCGCAUAUCAAUAAGCGGAGGAAAAGAAACUAACAAGGAUUCCCCUAGUAACGGCGAGUGAAGCGGGAAGAGCUCAAAUUUGAAAUCUUAAAGGGUUUCCCUUUACGAAUUGUAGUUUAAAGAAGUGUUUUCUGUUGAGGUUUUGGUAAAAGUUCUUUGGAAUAGGACAUCAUAGAGGGUGAGAAUCCCGUAUUUGACCUUUACUUUCAACUUUGUGAUACACUUUCAAAGAGUCGGAUUGUUUGGGAAUGCAGUCCAAAAUGGGUGGUAAAUUUCAUCUAAAGCUAAAUAUUGGCGAGAGACCGAUAGCGAACAAGUACCGUGAGGGAAAGAUGAAAAGAACUUUGAAAAGAGAGUUAAACAGUACGUGAAAUUGUCAAAAGGGAAGCGUUUGACACCAGUGUUGUUUUUCUGAAAAUCAAUUAAAGAACUGUUUAUGCUAAGUUGUUUAGACUUUAUCAGCUAUCUGUUUAGUUUUGAGCUUUUCUUUAAUGCACUUUUCAGUUAACAAGUCAACAUCAAUUUCUUUUGCUGUAAAAAAGCUUGAGGAAGGUGGCUUGAGAUUCGUCUUAAGUGUUUAUAGCCUCUUGCCUAUGCAGUCGGAGAGAUUGAGGUCUGCAGCGUAGAUCCUUCGGGGCUAAAUGCAUUUGUGCUAAGUUAUAACAUUCUAUAGACAACUUGUUGACUAUGAUUUGUCUUGUAGCUUACUCGCUUAUGUUAUUUUACCUACGCUUAGGAUGUUGACACACGCGCGUGCUCG